Molecule: long non-coding RNA, 867 nt
Organism: Pelmatolapia mariae (spotted tilapia)
Lineage: Eukaryota; Metazoa; Chordata; Actinopteri; Cichliformes; Cichlidae
Exons: 3
Source: RefSeq, a predicted model, not a curated record
UGAGGCACCAGAUAAAUCUGCAGAAGAAGACCGGGAAAUAUAAGUAGAAUUAAAUAUGUAGGAAAAACCCCAAAACAACAACAAAAAAACGGGGGACCAAAGCGGAGCUUCAAGGCUGCACCGUCCUCUCACAUUCCAGCACGUCGUAAAAAAGGGGGAUUUAGAGCGACUUAUUUCCUUAAAACUGUCCUCCCAUCCACUGAGCCAGCCAGUCUGCUACCGUCAGCCCGCUGCAGGCCCUGCACCAAAAUGUACAAACAAUAUUUCCAGGUGGGUUCCCACCGGGGAGACACCUGAGCACUUGGGGACUCGCAGCCACCGCACCUGCGGGGUACAGCCAGCCAUGCAAUUACACACAUUAAAAAAAAAAAAGCUUCUCCGUUUGGCGACGUGCGGAAUGACUUUUCACUGACUGCACUUGAAACGGUUCCUGCAGGAGGAAGAUGUGCUCGAAGAGAAACAGACUUCUUUAUAUGAAGAUUUCGAUCGUGGGGAAGCGGCGGUGUGGAUCACGAAGCUGGAUUUCUUUUAACAGCACAGCCGAGGGGAGAAAAGUUUGAGGAAGAGGAGCUGCGACACAUUCAGGAGUUUGCCAACAAACAAAACAGAUGCAAUUAAACACACACUCGCCUUCAGAUCAUCUCUGAGGAGACAAAGUCGAGUCUGGUGGAAAGCCGACAAGGACAAACAAGGAGGGAGAGGACUCUGCUGCCUCAAGGUUAACGCCGACUGAAUGAACUCUCGUCUUCACACUAUCAGUCUCGCCACAAAGACACAUCACUCAUUGCUUUUUAUAGCAUCUGUGCUCUUUUUAGAAGUUGACACGAUGCUCAGUUGAUGUUUUAUUUUUGUAUCAUUGCAGAAAAA